This 1369-nucleotide ribosomal RNA is filed under the name Sterkiella histriomuscorum. RNAcentral describes it as "eukaryotic LSU rRNA". It matches the Rfam family "Eukaryotic large subunit ribosomal RNA", at positions 1 to 1356 of the family's 3401-position model. The record is from RNAcentral. Lineage: Eukaryota; Ciliophora; Spirotrichea; Sporadotrichida; Oxytrichidae.
UGUAUCUGAAAUCAAGCAGGAUCACCCGCUGAACUUAAGCAUAUCACUAAGCGGAGGRGAAGAAAUUAACUAAGAUUGCCUCAGUAACGGCGAGUGAAGCGGCAAAAGCCCAAACUGUAAAUCUUGUGCACUACGUGUACACGAAUUGUAAUCUAGAGAGAGUUCACUCAACGGGCGGGGGCGCAGAAGUGACCACGAACGGUCCGCCAGAGAGGGUGAAAGCCCCGUAUGUGGUGUCCCUGCUUAACGAGUGGGUUUUCGAAGAGUCGGGUUGUUUUGUAUUGCAGCCCUAAGUGGGAGAUAAACUUCUUCUAAGGCUAAAUAUUAAUAGGAAACCGAUAGCGAACAAGUACUGUGAAGGAAAGAUGAAAAGAACUUUGAAAAGAGAGUCAAAAGACUUGAAAUCGUUGAGAAGGAAGGGGUAGAAAUUUAUUCUUCGGUGCAUGCAGAGUUUAGUCGCCUAACCAUUGCGGGCUAAGGAUACGUCAAAGGUCCUGGUUUGUACCUGGGGAAGUGACUGGGUGAGUGUGCAUCGUGAGCCAAGAUGGGGUCGGACAGCCACAAAGGCUCUGUACAACCGGUUUCCUUCGGGAGGCAGUGUGCGGAUGUCGGUGGAGGUUCGGCCUGAGGAAGCUUCGGCGAUCUUGGCAAAAUGGUUUUUACCCACCCGUCUUGAAACACGGACCAAGGAGUCUAACAUGUAUGCAAGUGUGCUAGUGGAAAAACUAACACGCGUAAUGAAGGUGAUUGAUGCCAAGCGCAAGCAGCAGCAUCGACCGACCAUGAUCCUCUGGUGAAAGGUUUGAGUACGAGCAUAAAUGUUAGGACCCGAAAGAUGGUGAACUAUGCCUGAGUAGGGUGAAGCCAGGGGAAACUCUGGUGGAGGCUCGUAGCGGUUCUGACGUGCAAAUCGAUCGUCGAACUUGGGUAUAGGGGCGAAAGACUAAUCGAACCAUCUAGUAGCUGGUUCCCUCCGAAGUUUCCCUCAGGAUAGCUGGGACAAAUACGCAGUUUUAUUAGGUAAAGCGAAUGAUUAGAGGCCUCGGGGAUGCAAUGUCCUCGACCUAUUCUCAAACUUUAAAUUGGUAAGAACCCUGGCCUUUCUUAAUUGAGGCAUGGGGGCUCAAUGCGUGUCCCAAGUGGGCCAUUUUUGGUAAGCAGAACUGGCGAUGAGGGAUGCUCCUAACGUCGAGUUAAGGUGCCCAACUGCACGCUCAUCAGAUACUACAAAGGGUGUUGGUUCAUCCAGACAGCAGGACGGUGGCCAUGGAAGUCGGAACCCGCUAAGGAGUGUGUAACAACUCACCUGCCGAAUGGACUAGCCCCGAAAAUGGAUGGCGCUAAAGCGUGCGACCGAUACUCGACCAUU